GAUGAACGCUGGCGGCGUGCCUAAUACAUGCAAGUCGAGCGAACAGACGAGGAGCUUGCUCCUCUGACGUUAGCGGCGGACGGGUGAGUAACACGUGGAUAACCUACCUAUAAGACUGGGAUAACUUCGGGAAACCGGAGCUAAUACCGGAUAACAUGUUGAACCGCAUGGUUCAACAGUGAAAGACGGUUUUGCUGUCACUUAUAGAUGGAUCCGCGCCGCAUUAGCUAGUUGGUAAGGUAACGGCUUACCAAGGCAACGAUGCGUAGCCGACCUGAGAGGGUGAUCGGCCACACUGGAACUGAGACACGGUCCAGACUCCUACGGGAGGCAGCAGUAGGGAAUCUUCCGCAAUGGGCGAAAGCCUGACGGAGCAACGCCGCGUGAGUGAAGAGGGUCUUCGGAUCGUAAAACUCUGUUAUUAGGGAAGAACAAAUGUGUAAGUAACUAUGCACGUCUUGACGGUACCUAAUCAGAAAGCCACGGCUAACUACGUG
This 497-nucleotide ribosomal RNA is filed under the name uncultured bacterium. RNAcentral's name for it is "partial 16S ribosomal RNA". It matches the Rfam family "Bacterial small subunit ribosomal RNA", at positions 28 to 507 of the family's 1533-position model. The record is from RNAcentral.